UGUGUGUUAGUGGAAGCGUCUGGAAAGGCGCGCGAUACAGGGUGACAGCCCCGUACACAAAAAUGCACAUGCUGUGAGCUCGAUGAGUAGGGCGGGACACGUGGUAUCCUGUCUGAAUAUGGGGGGACCAUCCUCCAAGGCUAAAUACUCCUGACUGACCGAUAGUGAACCAGUACCGUGAGGGAAAGGCGAAAAGAACCCCGGCGAGGGGAGUGAAAAAGAACCUGAAACCGUGUACGUACAAGCAGUGGGAGCACGCUUAGGCGUGUGACUGCGUACCUUUUGUAUAAUGGGUCAGCGACUUAUAUUCUGUAGCAAGGUUAACCGAAUAGGGGAGCCGAAGGGAAACCGAGUCUUAACUGGGCGUUAAGUUGCAGGGUAUAGACCCGAAACCCGGUGAUCUAGCCAUGGGCAGGUUGAAGGUUGGGUAACACUAACUGGAGGACCGAACCGACUAAUGUUGAAAAAUUAGCGGAUGACUUGUGGCUGGGGGUGAAAGGCCAAUCAAACCGGGAGAUAGCUGGUUCUCCCCGAAAGCUAUUUAGGUAGCGCCUCGUGAAUUCAUCUCCGGGGGUAGAGCACUGUUUCGGCAAGGGGGUCAUCCCGACUUACCAACCCGAUGCAAACUGCGAAUACCGGAGAAUGUUAUCACGGGAGACACACGGCGGGUGCUAACGUCCGUCGUGAAGAGGGAAACAACCCAGACCGCCAGCUAAGGUCCCAAAGUCAUGGUUAAGUGGGAAACGAUGUGGGAAGGCCCAGACAGCCAGGAUGUUGGCUUAGAAGCAGCCAUCAUUUAAAGAAAGCGUAAUAGCUCACUGGUCGAGUCGGCCUGCGCGGAAGAUGUAACGGGGCUAAACCAUGCACCGAAGCUGCGGCAGCGACACUGUGUGUUGUUGGGUAGGGGAGCGUUCUGUAAGCCUGUGAAGGUGUGCUGUGAGGCAUGCUGGAGGUAUCAGAAGUGCGAAUGCUGACAUAAGUAACGAUAAAGCGGGUGAAAAGCCCGCUCGCCGGAAGACCAAGGGUUCCUGUCCAACGUUAAUCGGGGCAGGGUGAGUCGACCCCUAAGGCGAGGCCGAAAGGCGUAGUCGAUGGGAAACAGGUUAAUAUUCCUGUACUUGGUGUUACUGCGAAGGGGGGACGGAGAAGGCUAUGUUGGCCGGGCGACGGUUGUCCCGGUUUAAGCGUGUAGGCUGGUUUUCCAGGCAAAUCCGGAAAAUCAAGGCUGAGGCGUGAUGACGAGGCACUACGGUGCUGAAGCAACAAAUGCCCUGCUUCCAGGAAAAGCCUCUAAGCAUCAGGUAACAUCAAAUCGUACCCCAAACCGACACAGGUGGUCAGGUAGAGAAUACCAAGGCGCUUGAGAGAACUCGGGUGAAGGAACUAGGCAAAAUGGUGCCGUAACUUCGGGAGAAGGCACGCUGAUAUGUAGGUGAAGUCCCUCGCGGAUGGAGCUGAAAUCAGUCGAAGAUACCAGCUGGCUGCAACUGUUUAUUAAAAACACAGCACUGUGCAAACACGAAAGUGGACGUAUACGGUGUGACGCCUGCCCGGUGCCGGA
Molecule: ribosomal RNA, 1561 nt
Filed under: Escherichia coli
Lineage: Bacteria; Pseudomonadati; Pseudomonadota; Gammaproteobacteria; Enterobacterales; Enterobacteriaceae
Description: partial 23S ribosomal RNA
Rfam family: Bacterial large subunit ribosomal RNA
Source: RNAcentral